RNAcentral lists this ribosomal RNA (497 nucleotides) under uncultured bacterium. Its description in RNAcentral is "partial 16S ribosomal RNA". It matches the Rfam family "Bacterial small subunit ribosomal RNA", at positions 28 to 507 of the family's 1533-position model. The record is from RNAcentral.
GAUGAACGCUGGCGGCGUGCCUAAUACAUGCAAGUCGAGCGAACAGAUGAGGAGCUUGCUCCUCUGACGUUAGCGGCGGACGGGUGAGUAACACGUGGAUAACCUACCUAUAAGACUGGGAUAACUUCGGGAAACCGGAGCUAAUACCGGAUAAUAUAUUGAACCGCAUGGUUCAAUAGUGAAAGACGGUUUUGCUGUCACUUAUAGAUGGAUCCGCGCCGCAUUAGCUAGUUGGUAAGGUAACGGCUUACGAAGGCAACGAUGCGUAGCCGACCUGAGAGGGUGAUCGGCCACACUGGAACUGAGACACGGUCCAGACUCCUACGGGAGGCAGCAGUAGGGAAUCUUCCGCAAUGGGCGAAAGCCUGACGGAGCAACGCCGCGUGAGUGAUGAAGGUCUUCGGAUCGUAAAACUCUGUUAUUAGGGAAGAACAAAUGUGUAAGUAACUAUGCACGUCUUGACGGUACCUAAUCAGAAAGCCACGGCUAACUACGUG